AGAACGAACGCUGGCGGCAUGCCUAACACAUGCAAGUCGAACGAUCUCUUCGGAGAUAGUGGCGCACGGGUGCGUAACGCGUGGGAAUCUGCCCUUGGGUUCGGAAUAACAGUUGGAAACGACUGCUAAUACCGGAUGAUGACGUUAAGUCCAAAGAUUUAUCGCCCAGGGAUGAGCCCGCGUAGGAUUAGCUAGUUGGUGAGGUAAAGGCUCACCAAGGCGACGAUCCUUAGCUGGUCUGAGAGGAUGAUCAGCCACACUGGGACUGAGACACGGCCCAGACUCCUACGGGAGGCAGCAGUGGGGGAAUAGUUGGACGAAGUGGGCGACAAGCCUGAUCCAGACCAUACCGCGUGGGUGAAGGAACGGUCCUUACGGGUUGUAAACGUCCCGUUUUAGGUAGGGAAAG
This 409-nucleotide ribosomal RNA is filed under the name uncultured soil bacterium. RNAcentral's name for it is "bacterial SSU rRNA". It matches the Rfam family "Bacterial small subunit ribosomal RNA", at positions 26 to 451 of the family's 1533-position model. The record is from RNAcentral.